AAUGUCGUAACAAGGUCUCCGUAGGUGAACCUGCGGAGGGAUCAUUACCAAAGAUGGCGGCCUCCGGGUCCCCGGUCCCCAACCCUUUGUUGCCAAAAUCCUUUUGCCUCGGGGACAGAGCGUCCGUCGCCGCCCCUGGAGGACCACCGAACGCUGUCUCUUUACGUCGGAGUAUUGAUUAAAUAAAUGAAAG
This 193-nucleotide unclassified non-coding RNA is filed under the name plant metagenome. Its description in RNAcentral is "partial contains small subunit ribosomal RNA and internal transcribed spacer 1". The stretch from base 1 to 47 matches the Rfam family "Eukaryotic small subunit ribosomal RNA", at positions 1785 to 1831 of the family's 1831-position model. The record is from RNAcentral.